UGGUUUGUUAUUCAUGAGGUUAUGAUAUGUUGUGUGUCAUUGGUAAUGCAUGAUAGAAGGCACUAGGGUAGCCCUUUUGGCUUGCUUUUCAUUUCCUACCUAUGCAUUCACCCCUAGUGAGCCCAUUGCAGCCUUGACCAUGUUCUUUGUUGUUAGUCACUAAAAUAAUUAGCCAAGGCCUGUUUUGGACUCUCUCUUUGACCCUAUUGUGCAUGUUUGAAUUGAAUUACAUCCUAUUUGAAUUCUGGAGGAAGUUGUAUCUGUCUGCCCAAACAGAAUCCAUGCUGAAAACUGUUCUGAACCGUGGAGGGACGAUCUGUUUGGCCAAGUCAGGGACUGUUGUUGAUGGUUGGGCUAAGUUUUUCUGUACUGAGCUGAAUUGUGAAAUGAUUCUCUGUAUGUGGUUUGAAUAUGUGAAUAAAAGGUGCUAGAAAAAAAAAAAGAAAAAGAAAAGAAAAGAAAAAGAAAAAAGAAAAAAAGAAAAAAAAAGAAAAAAAAAAUGCACCAAGUUGAAUUAGUUGAGCAUGCAGUUGAUUGUGAUGAUCUUGUUGCCCAAGGAUGAGUUAGUGUUUGUUCCUCGUAUGCUUAGUGUUUUUGGAUGUGAUUCGGUUUUAAUAUGCACAAUACUUGAUCUUCAAUAUUUGAGCUUAGGACCCCUAGGAUCUUGCCUACAUCAUUGAUAGUCCUUAGCCCCAUUACAACCAAUGAGAAAAGUCCUUUUUGAGUUACUAUGUGACC
RNAcentral lists this long non-coding RNA (738 nucleotides) under Salvia miltiorrhiza (redroot sage). RNAcentral describes it as "long non-coding RNA (SMIL_LNC013966)". Lineage: Eukaryota; Viridiplantae; Streptophyta; Magnoliopsida; Lamiales; Lamiaceae. The record is from RNAcentral.